CCUACGGGAGGCUGCAGUGGGGAAUAUUGCACAAUGGGGGAAACCCUGAUGCAGCGACGCCGCGUGAGCGAUGAAGUAUUUCGGUAUGUAAACCUCUGUCUUUGGGGAAGAAAAUGACGGUACCCAAAGAGGAAGCUCCGGCUAACUACGUGCCAGCAGCCGCGGUAAUACGUAGGGAGCGAGCGUUGUCCGGAAUUACUGGGUGUAAAGGGAGCGUAGGCGGGCGAGAAAGUUGAAUGUUAAAUCUACCGGCUUAACUGGUAGCUGCGUUCAAAACUUCUUGUCUUGAGUGAAGUAGAGGCAGGCGGAAUUCCUAGUGUAGCGGUGAAAUGCGUAGAUAUUAGGAGGAACACCAGUGGCGAAGGCGGCCUGUUGGGCUUUAACUGACGCUGAGGCUCGAAAGCGUGGGGAGCAAACAGGAUUAGAUACCCGUGUAGUC
Molecule: ribosomal RNA, 439 nt
Filed under: uncultured bacterium
Lineage: Bacteria
Description: partial 16S ribosomal RNA
Rfam family: Bacterial small subunit ribosomal RNA
Source: RNAcentral